GAUGAACGCUGGCGGCGUGCUUAACACAUGCAAGUCGAACGGUGAACCCGGAGCUUGCUCUGUGGGAUCAGUGGCGAACGGGUGAGUAACACGUGAGCAACCUGCCCCUGACUCUGGGAUAAGCGCUGGAAACGGCGUCUAAUACUGGAUAUGUGACGUGACCGCAUGGUCUGCGUUUGGAAAGAUUUUUCGGUUGGGGAUGGGCUCGCGGCCUAUCAGCUUGUUGGUGAGGUAAUGGCUCACCAAGGCGUCGACGGGUAGCCGGCCUGAGAGGGUGACCGGCCACACUGGGACUGAGACACGGCCCAGACUCCUACGGGAGGCAGCAGUGGGGAAUAUUGCACAAUGGGCGCAAGCCUGAUGCAGCAACGCCGCGUGAGGGAUGACGGCCUUCGGGUUGUAAACCUCUUUUAGCAGGGAUGAAGCGAAAGUGACGGUACCUGCAGAAAAAGCGCCGGCUAACUACGUG
RNAcentral lists this ribosomal RNA (469 nucleotides) under uncultured bacterium. RNAcentral describes it as "partial 16S ribosomal RNA". It matches the Rfam family "Bacterial small subunit ribosomal RNA", at positions 28 to 507 of the family's 1533-position model. The record is from RNAcentral.